ACUGCCGCCUGCCGCCACCGGAAAUCGCCCUACGGUGGAGACAAGACUCCGAUGGCCACCAAACUUACACUAAAGCUCUGCCUCUUCUUCCUCAUACCCAUACCACCAUCUAUUCCCCUCGAAUCCCACCGGAAAUCAUCAAAACCUCCAAACCCUAGGGCGCUUCCCUUGAAUCCUCUAGCGCAGCUGGUGGCGCCACCUUCUUUUCUCACCAGAUUAACACCCUAAAAUCUCCUCCUCCCCAUCAUGCCAAAUGUAAACUCUAUUACCCUCAAGUCACGCUAGAAUCCUUUGAAUGUUAAAUCAAGGAAUGAACCCUAAUUUUGAGAAGUCAUUUUGUUCGAAG
RNAcentral lists this long non-coding RNA (346 nucleotides) under Nicotiana benthamiana. Its description in RNAcentral is "long non-coding RNA (NBEN_LNC036030)". Lineage: Eukaryota; Viridiplantae; Streptophyta; Magnoliopsida; Solanales; Solanaceae. The record is from RNAcentral.